CUAACCUGCCCACUGAUUUAUUAAAGGGCCGCGGUAUAUUGACUGUGCAAAGGUAGCAUAAUCAUUUGUCUUUUAAUUGAAGGCUGGAAUGAAUGGUUGAAUGAAGUAUUAACUGUCUCAUUUUAAAAAAAAUAAAAAUUUAAUUUUUUAGUCAAAAAGCUAAAAUAAAUUUAGAGGACGAGAAGACCCUAUAGAUCUUUAUAAUAAAAUUUAAUAAAAAUUUUUAGAAUAAAAAAAAAAUUAUUAAAUUAAAUUAUUUGGUUGGGGUGACAGGAAAAUUUAAUAAACUAUUUUUAUAUAAGAACAAUAAUUUUUGAAUAUUUGAUCCAAUUUUAUUGAUUAAAAAAUUAAGUUACCUUAGGGAUAACAGCGUAAUUUUUUUAGAGAGUUCAUAUCGAUAAAAAAGAUUGCGACCUCGAUGUUGAAUUAAAGGU
Molecule: ribosomal RNA, 434 nt
Filed under: Stenosmylus stenopterus
Lineage: Eukaryota; Metazoa; Arthropoda; Insecta; Neuroptera; Osmylidae
Description: partial large subunit ribosomal RNA
Rfam family: Archaeal large subunit ribosomal RNA
Source: RNAcentral